RNAcentral lists this ribosomal RNA (273 nucleotides) under uncultured bacterium. RNAcentral's name for it is "partial 16S ribosomal RNA". It matches the Rfam family "Bacterial small subunit ribosomal RNA", at positions 523 to 796 of the family's 1533-position model. The record is from RNAcentral.
AUACGGAGGGUGCGAGCGUUAAUCGGAAUUACUGGGCGUAAAGCGUACGUAGGCGGUUGGUUAAGUUAGAUGUGAAAGCCCCGGGCUUAACCUGGGAACUGCAUUUAAAACUGGCGAACUAGAGUUGAGUAGAGGGGAGUGGAAUUUCAGGUGUAGCGGUGAAAUGCGUAGAGAUCUGAAGGAACACCAGUGGCGAAGGCGACUCCCUGGACUCGAACUGACGCUGAGGUACGAAAGCGUGGGUAGCAAACGGGAUUAGAUACCCCGUAGUCC